CCGGGACCAGAGAAUGGCCGAGGUGCUGUGUUCGGCGGUCCCCAACGGGACGGACGCCGCCUUUCUGGCCGGCCCGGGCUCCCCCUGGGGGGGGAACAGCACGAUCGCCUCCACCGCCGCGGUCGCCGCCUCGUUCCGGUGUUCGCUGACCAAGACGGGCUUCCAGUUCUUCUACCUGCCGAUCGUGUACAUCGUGGUCUUCAUCAUCGGCUUCCUGGGCAACAGCGUGGCCAUCUGGAUGUUCGUCUUCCACAUGAAGCCGUGGAGCGGCAUCUCCGUGUACAUGUUCAACUUGGCCUUGGCCGACUUCUUGUACGUGCUGACUCUGCCCGCGCUCAUCUUCUACUACUUUAACAAGACCGACUGGAUCUUCGGGGACGCCAUGUGCAAGCUGCAGAGGUUCAUCUUCCACGUGAACCUCUACGGCAGCAUCCUGUUCCUCACCUGCAUCAGCGCGCACCGCUACAGCGGCGUGGUGUACCCGCUCAAGUCGCUGGGCCGCCUCAAGAAGAAGAACGCCGUGUACAUCAGCGUGCUGGUGUGGCUCAUCGUGGUCCUGGGCAUCUCCCCCAUCCUCUUCUACUCGGGCACCGGCGUCCGCAAGAACAGAACCGUCACCUGCUACGACACCACCUCGGACGAGUACCUGCGAAGCUAUUUCAUCUACAGCAUGUGCACCACCGUGGCCAUGUUCUGUGUCCCCCUGGUGCUGAUCCUGGGCUGUUACGGCUUAAUUGUGAGAGCUCUGAUUUACAAAGACCUGGACAACUCGCCCCUGAGGAGGAAGUCCAUUUACCUGGUGAUCAUUGUACUGACGGUGUUUGGUGUGUCUUACAUCCCUUUCCACGUCAUGAAAACGAUGAACCUGCGGGCCCGGCUGGAUUUUCAGACCCCAGAAAUGUGUGCUUUCAAUGACAGGGUGUAUGCCACUUACCAGGUGACAAGAGGUCUCGCCAGCCUCAACAGCUGUGUGGACCCCAUUCUCUAUUUCUUGGCAGGGGACACUUUCCGAAGGAGGCUCUCCCGGGCCACCAGGAAAGCUUCCCGAAGAAGCGAGGCGAAUUUGCAGUCCAAGAGUGAAGACAUGACCCUCAAUAUUUUAUCCGAGUUCAAGCAGAAUGGAGAUACAAGCUUGUGAAGACGCGAGAAUCCCCAAGCACCCGCUGUUGUAACAUGGUAGGAUGCUUGCUAGAGCCAUGCGCUUUGUCCUCCCGCCUUUAAGUUUCUAAAAGUUUAGGGGAAAAAUCAAACCCAGAAAUUAGUGAGUUAAAAAAACAACAACUGGAAAUGUCCACACUCACACUUAGCUUGUUUGGGUUUGCUUUCAAGGCCUCCCUUCUGUCUCACCAGAAGUAUGCAUAAUAAAAAGUUACUACCCCAGUUAAGCAUUUUCCUGCUCUUCUGCCUUCAGCAUUUACAAGCUUUCCUGUUUAAAGUGCACUUGAGUACUGGAGCUAUUUUGCUAUUAAUAAUUUCUCCAGGAAAACUGAUGACCUGAAACUUGAGUUGGUGAUGCAUCCAGUCUUUAAUGUUUUUAAUAAUCCAUGGUGGCAACAAGUUGAAGCUCCACAUUCUUAAGGUCUCAGGAUGUCCAGCUGAUUUACAGUACGCGUUACGUACAUUGUUUCAGCUUCCGGAGAACUUUAUUGCGGAGCGUGGGUCCAUGGAGGAGGUGGACAGUGACUAGAAAUGCCCUUUUACUUCGUGGCAUGUUUCUUUUUUUCCAGAGUGUUUCUUCUUUAGCUUCGUACAUCCCGCAGUAGACAAUGGUGGCAUGUGAAUGCAUGUCCCAAUAGUAACAAGAAUGAUCUCCCUGACUCCUUCCAGGCAAAAAGAGGUCUCUGGGAAGAGUCUGUGUGUGCUAACGGUGAAAUGAGGGUCAGGAUGAAGCAGUGAUCUUACAAUCUGAUUCUUGACCUAUGAUAAUAUUAAUAAGUAUUUUAAUAAAGGCAGAAGUCUGUUGGCAUUUUGAUGAAAGAAUUGCUAAAACUAUGGGAUUUAUCAGUUAACUAGAUUUCACAAUACAAAACUAUUUUAUUGCCAAGUUCAAGGUGUCUUAUGGCACACAGCUUACAUCUUUGACUCUUAGAACAUGAACAAGUUUGCACUGAAAUGAUAAAAAAACAAACCAAGAAGAGAUACAGCAUGAGUGUAGAAUUCAGAGUUAUAACCAUGGCAUUGCCACUCGGCCAGCUAUGGAACUCUUGACCCUUUCAAGACCAUUCUUUGGAAUAAAAAGGUUGGAUAACAGCUUUCUUUUGAGGCUUUGGGGGAUGUGGAAACAUUAAAACUACAGACAGACAGCGAUGUAUGAAAUCUGCUACUGUACUUUACAGAAUUCUUCAAUUCCAGUCCUUGGCUAAAAAUUCUUACAAAGUUCAAUUGUGAUGUGGACCUAUGUCCUGUAAGUUUUCUCAUCUACGCUGGCAGUACACUACACUGCCUUUGGAUACAAAAGGUAUCAGUACUUAGAGCUGCUGGAAUUGCACCGGUGACAAUAAAGAUGUGUAACUAGUAAGAGAUCUAUUGAAGCUUUAAUUUUGCAGGUCAAAUUGUAGCUAUCAUAGUAUUUAUUAAUGAAGCUUACAGUUCUUCAGUUGUACAGAUUGAAAGACUUUCUUGAAAGAUCCCACAUACUGAUGUAAAUUAUAUUUAUUAUAAUGUACAAUAUUAAUGUUGCACUGGUAUAUUUGCAUAAUAAAUGAUACAUACAUAAAAUUAAUUAUUGUAUAUUAUGAUGCUUUUUGGAUAUUAGUAUCUUGAAAUUUUUGUCUUCAGAUUUUUUUAAUUUAAAAUAGGGAAAUCUGUUUUGUGAUAAAAUUGAUUUACUCCAGAUACCCUUUUGCACAUUUAACUUUUUAUUUAGGGUUCUUUCUAUACAGACACAAUUUGGUGUCACACUAUUGUUAGAUCAAUAGCAAAUAGAAAACAUCUGGGUCUGUAUAUAAAAUUAUAGAAAAGUUGAUAUUGUCUUUUCAGGACAUUUAGAAUUGUACCCUCAAAUAUGAUCAGAGCUUCUAUUUCCCAAUGCAAUGCUUGUCCUAACUUCAAAGUAAAUUCACUUAGAAGUCUGGUGGGUUGGGCACUAUUGAAGCAACAUUAGAAUUUAGAGAAAAACUUAAGGGAGAUGGGGAGAGAAGAAGACAGCUGGUGUAAUCUGUUACUGUGAUUAGUUCUGCUUAAAUUUCUGUGCUGUGUUUCUUUUUAAGGCGAAAUAGUAUAAUCUUAAUUUCUUUGAGACGGACUUUCUAAGUAACACACUACCAGCAAGUUUAACACUGCUAUUACUUUUAAUGUUUCAUUUUUUCAGUUGAUAACUUUAAUUCCAAGUGUUAAUAGUGGUAACUGUAUUAUAUUUGGCUGCUGAAUUCUGUUACAUUUUUAUUCUGUUGUACAUAGUAUUAUACACGUCAUUACAAAUUAAUAUGAAGGGGGAUAUACAUGACAUAUCGAAAUUUGUGAAUUUGAAUUGUAGUCUGUGCUUUUGCAAAAAUGUUUAUUUUUAUAUUAUCUGUGACUUAAUAUAGAUAAUUGAAUUGGG
This is an RNA transcript of Eptesicus fuscus (big brown bat), 3541 nucleotides long. It is a transcript of the gene named purinergic receptor P2Y1, with no coding region annotated. NCBI's taxonomy places the organism in Eukaryota, Metazoa, Chordata, Mammalia, Chiroptera, Vespertilionidae. The transcript is spliced from 2 exons. The record is from RefSeq and is a predicted model, not a curated record.